CCCUUAGAUGUUCGGGGCCGCACGCGCGCUACACUGAAGGAAUCAGCACGUCUUUCUCCUUGUCCGAAAGGACUGGGUAACCCGCUGAACCUCCUUCGUGCUAGGGAUUGGGGCUUGUAAUUCUUCCCCAUGAACGAGGAAUUCCCAGUAAGCGCGAGUCAUAAGCUCGCGUUGAUUACGUCCCUGCCCUUUGUACACACCGCCCGUCGCUACUACCGGUUGGAUGGUUUAGUGAGAUCCUCGGAUUGGUCCCGGAGCGGCCUCUGGUCGUGCCGGAGUGCCGAAAAGAAUGUCGAACUUGAUCAUCUAGAGGAAGUAAAAGUCGUAACA
This 330-nucleotide ribosomal RNA is filed under the name uncultured eukaryote. RNAcentral describes it as "partial 18S ribosomal RNA". It matches the Rfam family "Eukaryotic small subunit ribosomal RNA", at positions 1470 to 1796 of the family's 1831-position model. The record is from RNAcentral.